UACGUAAGUGGCGAGCGUUAUCCGGAAUUACUGGGCGUAAAGCGUGCGUAGGCGGUUUAGUGUGUGGGAAUUGAAAGCCCGGGGCUCAACUCCGGAUCUGGUUCCCAAACUGCUAGACUCGAGCGUAUCAGAGGAGAGCGGAAUUCCCGGUGUAGCGGUAAUAUGCGUAGAUAUCGGGAGGAACACCAGUGGCGAAGGCAGGUCUCUGGGCUGACACUGACGCUCAUGCACGAAAGCGUGGGGAGCAAACAGG
This 253-nucleotide ribosomal RNA is filed under the name uncultured bacterium. RNAcentral's name for it is "partial 16S ribosomal RNA". It matches the Rfam family "Bacterial small subunit ribosomal RNA", at positions 524 to 776 of the family's 1533-position model. The record is from RNAcentral.